GGCUGGCUCAAAGGUAGUGAGUUCUACCAAUGUAUUGUCCACAGUCAGUUACAGACCAAAUUCCUUGUUCUACUCUUUCCCCCGUCCUCACUAAUGCACUUGACUAGUCUUUA
Unclassified non-coding RNA from Gorilla gorilla gorilla (western lowland gorilla), 113 nucleotides. It matches the Rfam family "Y RNA". Rfam says of the family: Y RNAs are components of the Ro ribonucleoprotein particle (Ro RNP), in association with Ro60 and La proteins. The Y RNAs and Ro60 and La proteins are well conserved, but the function of the Ro RNP is not known. NCBI's taxonomy places the organism in Eukaryota, Metazoa, Chordata, Mammalia, Primates, Hominidae. The record is from Ensembl.